UUGAUCUAUGAGAAGACUUGGCUCUCCAUCUUGCUACCAAGAAGUUAAAGGAAGAAUUUGAAAGUUCUGAAUCUGAAUCACUUGUUCCCCUAGGCAAGAGAGUUGCACUUCUAACAUAUAUGGUUACAAUUCAAGAUUCUCAAAAGAAGAUGCACUGAACGGUACAAUUGCCUUCGUGGUCAUAAGUAUGCUCCAGGAGCCACAUGGCCAGGCUCUGGCACCAUGGAAGAGCAUGCAAGGCACCCCUCUGCUAGAAAACAGACAUUCCAGUGUUUCUCAGUUACAGGUGGCUAGCAGCAAAGAGUUCCACCCUGCCAUUAACCAAAGAGAAGCCUCACUGAAAAGGAUCAAGAGCUCUGUGUUUCAUCAAUUUAACAUCCUAGCAUUAGCACCAGCCAAGCAGACACAGCCAGCCUGCCAAGACAAACAAAUGGGUCUUGGCUAAAGGGGCGCCCAUCUCUGGAGACAGCCCUCCAGUCUAAACUUCUUAAGGAGUCCAUAUAAACGUGCUUUUAUUGAAAGGUGCUACUCCAUCUAAAAAGCACAGAUUCAGUUCAAACACUACCACCUUUCACGGUUAUGUUGGCUUAAGGUGUGUGCAGCUCAAUGACCGUGCAAAACCUGCGUCACAGCUACCUGCUGCUCACUUUUUAAAUCCCCAAACCAAAACUUCUGGAGCCACAUUGAACACUGGCUGUUUUAUCAGAAAGAAAAUAAGAGUGAAGAAGGAUGCUGGGCCACAGAAUCUUUUCCUGCCUCCACCCCAACCCCAUCCAAAUAGAGAGCUGCACUAGGUGAAUAAAUGGUUAUAGGUCUCCUCUGUUUCUCUAGCCUAGUGGAUAGAAUUUAAACUUAGUGUGGGAAUGUCACUCCUUCAUUCCUUUUCUGGAGUUUGUCAGUAAGCGAACAUUGCUUAAAGGUUGAGCUUCUUGGAGAUGUGGGGUGGGCAGGGCUAAAUUGUGAAAUCUAUUAAAAACUGAAAAGAUUUUACAGAAAACUAUAAAUUUUUAACUAAAUUUAAAAGAAAAUCCACUAGCAAACAUUUAUUGAACAUUUACUCUGUGUUGAAUUCUGGGAAAAGUGUGGGGCUAUGAAAGAGAACAUGGCACUUACCAUCCUAGAGAAACUAUAAAUCUAAUUCAGUCAAAUACUAAUGGCAACAACUAAGAAUAAAAACUACAUCCUGAAAGUUUGCAAGAUUUGGAUUCCUAAGAAUGUGCAAGAAGUGUCUCUACAAAGUAAUGGACCAAAAUUCUAUGAGAUAGUUUGGAAAAGUAGUCUCACAACUUAGUGUUCAAACUGCAUAACCUUCAUCUUAGAAGUUUCAGGCGUUUGUGUGUCACCAAAUGAGUAUUCAAGCAUUCACAAUCACAAGGAGCCACCCUCACAGGAGCGGCAGUAGUCUUGUAUUCAUUCAUCCUCUGAGCAUUGGGCUUCUAAAAUGUGCCAAGCACUCCAUCCAGGUGUUGGAAAUGUAAUGGUAACAAGACAGAAAUCUAAGCCCUUGCCCUCAUGAAGUUGAUAAUCCAGUUCAGGAGAGAGAAUAUUAAUAAGUAAAUAAAUAAACACCAUUGCUUAGUUAGUGACAACUAUGAUGCUAAAAAUUAGCCUGGGUCCUGGGAAGAUCUGAGAUGGAGGGGCAGGUAUCAGAGGAACCAUUUUAAGAAAGGGUAGUCCAGAUUGGCUCAAGAAGGAAUACUUGAGCAAAAAUCUGAAGGAUCAAAAGGAGCCAACUAUGUAGGAGGAGUGACUGGCAAAGGAAGUAGCAAGAGGAAGAAAUGAGCUUAGCAAGUUCCAAGAACAAAAACGCCAAUGUGGCUUGAACAUAGUCAACCAGGGUGGAAUAGUAAGGCUAGAGGCCAGUCUUUACCAAGGCUUGGAUCAUGUAAGGCCUUGCAGAUGAUGGUACAAAGUUUGGCUUUUAUUCUGACAGUGAUAGGAGGCAGCUAGGGUGGGAGGGUUAAAAGUGGGGGCGAUAUGAUCUGAUUUACUUGUUUUAAUGUCCACUCUGACUGUACUCAUUCAUUCAAACAUUUGUUCAGCAUUAACUAUGUCCUACACACUGGGGAUCCAGGAUUGAACUAAAAAGGGCAAAAUCUCUACCUUCAUGAAGUUUGGGUGCAGGACAGGGGUUUUAGGGGCAAUAAAUACAAAGCACACACUUAAGCUUAAUGUUUCAAGUUGAUAUGGUUUCCCUGUGUCCCCACCCAAAUCUCACCUUGAAUUGCAAUAAUCCCCAUGUGUCAAGGGUGGGGCCAUGUGGAGAUAACUGAAUUAUGGGGGCAGGUUUCCCCCAUACUGUUCUCAUGGUAGUGAAUAAGUCUCAUGAGAUCUAAUGGUUUUAUAAAUGGGAGUUUUUCUGCACAAGUUCUCUUGUCUGCCACCAUGUAAGAUGUGACUUUGCUCCUCAUUCAGCUUCUGCCAUGAUUGUAAGGCCUGCCCAGACAUGUGAAACUGUGAGUCAAUUAAACUUCUUUCCUUUAUAAAUUACCCAGUCUUGGGCAUAUCUUUAUUAGCAGCAUGAGAACUGACUAAUACACAAGUGAUAAUGUCCUAUCAAUAAAAAGAGAA
This 2571-nucleotide long non-coding RNA is filed under the name Homo sapiens (human). Its description in RNAcentral is "HSALNT0073517". Lineage: Eukaryota; Metazoa; Chordata; Mammalia; Primates; Hominidae. The record is from RNAcentral.